CAGAGGGGGCAAGCGUUAUUCGGAAUUAUUGGGCGUAAAGGGCGCGUAGGCGGCUUUUCAAGUGACGGGUGAAAUCCCUCGGCUUAACCGAGGAACUGCCUGUCAGACUGGAAGGCUUGAGACCGGGAGAGGUGAGUGGAAUUCCCAGUGUGGCGGUGAAAUGCGUAGAUAUUGGGAGGAACACCAGUGGCGAAGGCGGCUCACUGGACCGGAACUGACGCUGAGGCGCGAAAGCGUGGGGAGCGAAACAGGAUUAGAUACCCUGGUAGUCCACGCCGUAAACGAUGAGUGCUUGGUGUAGCGGGUAUCGACCCCUGCUGUGCCGAAGUCAACACGAUUAAGCACUCCGCCUGGGGAGUACGGUCGCAAGACUG
This 374-nucleotide ribosomal RNA is filed under the name uncultured organism. RNAcentral describes it as "bacterial SSU rRNA". It matches the Rfam family "Bacterial small subunit ribosomal RNA", at positions 526 to 896 of the family's 1533-position model. The record is from RNAcentral.